Molecule: ribosomal RNA, 253 nt
Filed under: uncultured bacterium
Lineage: Bacteria
Description: partial 16S ribosomal RNA
Rfam family: Bacterial small subunit ribosomal RNA
Source: RNAcentral
UACGUAGGUGGCAAGCGUUGUCCGGAAUUAUUGGGCGUAAAGCGCGCGCAGGCGGUCCUUUAAGUCUGAUGUGAAAGCCCACGGCUCAACCGUGGAGGGUCAUUGGAAACUGGGGGACUUGAGUACAGAAGAGGAAAGUGGAAUUCCACGUGUAGCGGUGAAAUGCGUAGAGAUGUGGAGGAACACCAGUGGCGAAGGCGACUUUCUGGACAAAUACUGACACUGAGGCACGAAAGCAUGGGGAGCAAACAGG